RNAcentral lists this long non-coding RNA (815 nucleotides) under Nicotiana tabacum (common tobacco). Its description in RNAcentral is "long non-coding RNA (NTAB_LNC013632)". Lineage: Eukaryota; Viridiplantae; Streptophyta; Magnoliopsida; Solanales; Solanaceae. The record is from RNAcentral.
AGAUGCAUUUCCUCCUAAGUUUAGUUUUACCCAUAGGAGACGCAUUUCCUCCUAAGUUUAGUUUUACCCAUAGGAGAGGCAUUUCCUCCUAAGUUUAGUUUUACCCAUAGGAGACGCAUUUCCUCCUAAGUUUACUUUGACCCAUAGGAGAUGCAUUUCCUCCUAAGUUUAGGUUUACCCAUAGGAGACGCAUUUCCUCCUAAGUUUAGUUUUACCCAUAGGAGAUGCAUUUCCUCCUAAGUUUAGUUUUAGUUUCACCCAUAAGAGAUGCAUUUCCUCCUAAGUUUGUUUUUACCCAUAGGAGAUGCAUUUCCUCCUAAGUUUGUUUUUACCCAUAGGAGAUGCAUUUCCUCCUAAGUUUGUUUUUACCCAUAGGAGAUGCAUUUCCUCCUAAGUUUAUUUUUACCCAUAGGAGAUGCAUUUCCUCCUAAGUUUGUUUUUACCCAUAGGAGAGGCAUUUCCUCCUAAGUUGUUGUUGAACCAAUAGGAGAGGCAUUUCCUCCUAAGUUUAGUUUCACCCAUAGGAGAUGCAUUUCCUCCUAAGUUUAGUUUUACCCAUAGGAGAGGUAUUUCCUCCUAAGUUUGAAAUUAAGAGCCCGCCUGAAGAGAGGAAUGACGUUGAUUUUAAAAUUUGUUUAUUUGAAGUUGGGAGCCCGCCCAUAGAACAGAGGCAUAUAUUUCAGUCUUUUCAUUUCAAGUGUUGAAGUUGGGAGCCCGCCCAUAGAGCAGAGGCAUACAUUUCAGUCUUUACAUUUCAAACAUUGAAAUUGGGAGCCCGACCAGAUAACAGAGGCAUACAUUUCAGUCUUUAUAUU